CCUACGGGAGGCUGCAGUGGGGAAUAUUGCACAAUGGGGGGAAACCCUGAUGCAGCAACGCCGCGUGAAGGAAGACGGUUUUCGGAUUGUAAACUUCUAUCAAUAGGGAAGAAAGAAAUGACGGUACCUAAAUAAGAAGCCCCGGCUAACUCAGUGCCAGCAGCCGCGGUAAUACGUAGGGGGCAAGCGUGAUCCGGAAUUACUGGGUGUAAGGGGAGAGUAGGGGGGAAGGUAAGGGAUAUGUGAAAGCCUUAAGCUUAACUUAAGGAUGGCAUAACGAACUAUCUAGCUAGAGUACAGGAGAGGAAAGCGGAAUUCCUAGUGUAGCGGGGAAAUGCGUAGAUAUUAGGAAGAACACCAGUGGCGAAGGCGGCUUUCUGGACUGAAACUGACGCUGAGGCUUGAAAGCGUGGGGAGCGAACAGGAGUAGAUACCCCAGUAGUC
Molecule: ribosomal RNA, 444 nt
Filed under: uncultured bacterium
Lineage: Bacteria
Description: partial 16S ribosomal RNA
Rfam family: Bacterial small subunit ribosomal RNA
Source: RNAcentral